Molecule: ribosomal RNA, 406 nt
Filed under: uncultured bacterium
Lineage: Bacteria
Description: partial 16S ribosomal RNA
Rfam family: Bacterial small subunit ribosomal RNA
Source: RNAcentral
AUUGAACGCUGGCGGCAGGCCUAACACAUGCAAGUCGAACGAGUGGCGGACGGGUGAAUCAUGUCUGGGAAACUUCCCGAUGGAGGGGGAUAACUACUGGAAACGGUAGCUAAUAACGCAUACCCUCGUUUGUGCCCAGAUGGGAUUAGAUAGUCGGUGGGGUAACGGCUCACCUAGGCGAAGAUCCCUAGCUGGUCUGAGAGGAUGACCAGCCACACGGGAACUGAGACACGGUCCAGACUCCUACGGGAGGCAGCAGUGGGGAAUAUUGCACAAUGGGCGCAAGCCUGAUGCAGCCAUGCCGCGUGUAUGAAGAAGGCCUUCGGGUUGUAAAGUACUUUCAGCGAGGAGGCGUUACUCGCAGAAGAAGCCCCGGCUAACUCCGUGCCAGCAGCCGCGGUAAUUC